GACGUAGGGGGCAAGCGUUGUCCGGAAUCACUGGGCGUAAAGAGCUCGUAGGCGGGGAUGCGCGUCCUGGAGUAAAUCCAACUGCUCAACGGUUGGUUCAUCUGGGAUACGGUAUCUCUUGAGGACAGAAGAGGAGAACAGAAUUCCGAGUGUAGCGGUGAAAUGCGUAGAUAUUCGGAGGAAUACCGGUGGCGAAGGCGGUUCUCUGGUCUGAUUCUGACGCUGAGGAGCGAAAGCCAGGGGAGCAAACGGG
Molecule: ribosomal RNA, 253 nt
Filed under: uncultured bacterium
Lineage: Bacteria
Description: partial 16S ribosomal RNA
Rfam family: Bacterial small subunit ribosomal RNA
Source: RNAcentral